UGACACAUAACAGCCCUUAAGAUGGUAACUCGCCGUCAUGGGGUGUCGGGGGUCGGAGGUUCAAAUCCUCUCGUGCCGACCA
Molecule: transfer RNA, 82 nt
Filed under: Caudoviricetes sp.
Lineage: Duplodnaviria; Heunggongvirae; Uroviricota; Caudoviricetes
Description: tRNA-Pro
Source: RNAcentral